This 481-nucleotide ribosomal RNA is filed under the name uncultured bacterium. RNAcentral's name for it is "partial 16S ribosomal RNA". It matches the Rfam family "Bacterial small subunit ribosomal RNA", at positions 30 to 506 of the family's 1533-position model. The record is from RNAcentral.
AUUGAACGCUGGCGGCAUGCUUUACACAUGCAAGUCGAACGGUAACAGGCCGCAAGGUGCUGACGAGUGGCGAACGGGUGAGUAAUGCAUCGGAACGUGCCCAGUCGUGGGGGAUAACUACUCGAAAGAGUAGCUAAUACCGCAUACGAUCUAUGGAUGAAAGCGGGGGACCGUAAGGCCUCGCGCGAUUGGAGCGGCCGAUGUCAGAUUAGGUAGUUGGUGGGGUAAAGGCUCACCAAGCCAACGAUCUGUAGCUGGUCUGAGAGGACGACCAGCCACACUGGGACUGAGACCCGCCCCAGCCUCCUACGGGAGGCAGCGGGGGGGAAUUUUGGACACUGGGCGCAAGCCUGCUCCAGCAAUCCCGCGUGCAGGAAGAAGGCCUUCGGUUUGUAAACUGUUUUUGUACGGAACGAAAGGGCUCUGGUUAAUCCCCGGGGCUAAUGGCGGUACCGUAAGAAUAAGCCCCGGCUACCUCCGU